Molecule: long non-coding RNA, 117 nt
Organism: Amblyraja radiata (thorny skate)
Lineage: Eukaryota; Metazoa; Chordata; Chondrichthyes; Rajiformes; Rajidae
Exons: 2
Source: RefSeq, a predicted model, not a curated record
AAACUCCGUACAGUCAGCACCCGUAGUCGGGAUCGAACCCGGUGGAUUCUAUAAGUACGGCACUGGUGAGGCCAUAACUAACUAUGGCAUUGUGUGUUGGGAACAAUGUAAACGGAA